UUCGGUGUUAGAGCGUUCUUAUCGGCGCUUUUUCUAAUUUUCAACGUUCCGCAUAUCCGCGUCGAUUCGUUCGCCGAUUUUUAUCAGCCGGUUCGACUGGUUCCUCCGAGCACCGCGACCGCCGCCUUGACCGAAAAUCGCACCGCCUCGUCCGUCGCCGAGGACUUUCUGAAUUUUGGCGUAAAAAAGCAGCAGAUCGCGCCUCAACCGAGUUACACGAAUAUACUGAAAAGCAAGGUCGACAUUCUCUCGAAACUGCUGAAGAUCCACGUCGAUCAUCUUCGCGAUCAGACGGACCAGGUGGAGCUCGUCUUUCUCGUGGACGCCUCGGCGUCCGUCGGGUUGGAAAAUUUCCGGAGCGAAUUGAACUUCGUCCGCAAAUUGCUGUCGGAUUUCACCGUGGCUCCCGCGGCGACGCGGGUGGCCGUGGUCACCUUUUCCGGAAAAACCAGCAUCAUCAGACACGUGGACCAAAUAUCGAACGCCGAGGAAAACAACCACAAGUGCCGACUGCUCAAUCGGCAAUUGACGAACGUCACCUACAGCGGGGGAGGGACGUACACCCGAGGCGCUCUCCUCGAAGCACUCGAUAUUCUGGAGAGGAGUCGUUCGGGGGCUAAAAAGGCCGUUUUUCUCGUCACGGACGGAUUCAGCAACGGCGGGGAUCCCAGACCUAUAGCGACUCUGUUGAAAAAAGCAGGCGCGAUAAUAUUCACCUUCGGUAUACGGACGGGUAACAUCGAAGAACUUCACGACAUAGCGAGCGAGCCGGGAUACACGUACAGCUAUCUUUUGGACAGUUUUCCCGAAUUCGAAGCUCUGGCGCGAAGAGCUUUGCACCACGAUUUAAAAUCCGGGGACUACGUGACCGUGAGUUCAGCUGAGGACUGCGAUUUUCUUUGCACCGGAAACGCGACGAAGUACAACGAAACUCGGUGCUGCGACUCGAAAGCCUCUUGCGCCUGUGGUAUAGUAACCGGUCAUUACACCUGCUUGUGCGAGCCAGGAUAUUUUGGAACUGGACUAUCGGGCUACUGUCAAGCCUGUCCCAACGGAACUUUCGGGCGUGGUAAUAUCCCUGGAGAUUCGAACGCCGCUUGCACGACUUGCCCGGAUCCGAAUCACGUGACGUUGAAAAUUCCGGCAACCGGUGCGGACGACUGCGUAUGCGCCACGGGAUUUACCACCAGGGGCAACAAAUGCGAUG
Molecule: unclassified non-coding RNA, 1207 nt
Filed under: Athalia rosae (coleseed sawfly)
Lineage: Eukaryota; Metazoa; Arthropoda; Insecta; Hymenoptera; Athaliidae
Description: misc RNA ENSAEAG00005008960.1
Source: RNAcentral